GUAAGGAAUAUUGGGCAAUGGACGCAAGUCUGACCCAGCCAUGCCGCGUGAAGGAUGACGGCCCUAUGGGUUGUAAACUUCUUUUGUACGGGAAUAAACCUUCGGUCGUGACCGGAGCUGAAUGUACCGUAAGAAUAAGGAUCGGCUAACUCCGUGCCAGCAGCCGCGGUAAUACGGAGGAUCCAAGCGUUAUCCGGAUUCAUUGGGUUUAAAGGGUGCGUAGGCGGAUUUGUAAGUCAGUGGUGAAAUCCUGCAGCUUAACUGUAGAACUGCCAUUGAUACUGCAAGUCUUGAGUACAUUUGAUGUGGGCGGAAUGUGUCAUGUAGCGGUGAAAUGCUUAGAUAUGACACAGAACACCGAUUGCGAAGGCAGCUCACAAAACUGUAACUGACGCUGAGGCACGACAGCGUGGGGAUCAAACAGGAUUAGAUACCCCUGUAGUCC
RNAcentral lists this ribosomal RNA (445 nucleotides) under uncultured bacterium. RNAcentral's name for it is "bacterial SSU rRNA". It matches the Rfam family "Bacterial small subunit ribosomal RNA", at positions 354 to 796 of the family's 1533-position model. The record is from RNAcentral.